GUUUUGUAUGCUGUCUGUAUGAAGCUUUUCUCUUCUUUGCUUCAGGAGGAAUCCCAGGUACCUGGAUCUUGUUUCCUUAUCUAAGGGACCAAUAGAAACCCCUGAACACGUCUCACAAUCCAGAGUCGGUUCAUCCCUUACUUGGAAGAAAGGGGAAAUGGUACACCUCUGGCUACAAACCUAUGCGUACUUACUUGGAAGUAAAGGCCAUUAAUGGAUCUUAUUCCUGAGUGAAAACCAUAGGAGCAGACUGCUGCUGCUUCUCCAUUCCUGUGUGAUGUGCAAACUGACUCUUAAGGCUUGAGGAGAAAAGCUGCUUGCAUCCUGAGAGUUGCCCUCGCUGGUCUGUGUUUGCUGUGUGUGUCAGGUUAAACUGCAGGCUUUGGGGGGAGGGGGCUGUCCGGGCCAGUGUCAUGACAAAGGCAGCAAACUGACCGCUAUUGAAAGCCCUAAACAACUCAGGCCCCAAAUACCUGAAAGCACCCCUCUUUCUCUACCCACUUCCUCAGCAGAGGGGGGCCCUCUAUAGUCUUACCACCCAUCAGAACUUCAGGGGUGGUGGUGGCCCGAGAGAGCGCAGCCCCUAAACGGUGGAACUCCCCACAGAGGUUCAUCUGGCAUCUUCCUUAUACAUCUUUCGGGAAAUGCCGAAGAUAUACCUCUUUACCCCAGCUUUUGACACCUAAGAUUACAUUUUUAGGACCCACCCUAUUGUUGUGAUUGUAAGUUGUUCCAAGCUGUUUGCAAUAUUGUGUUUUAAUUGUUGUAACUUGCCUUGGGGCCCUAGGGUGAAGGGUGGGUAGUUAAUUUAAUAAUAAUACUUUGUGUGUUUUUGUUGCAUUUUCACUGUUGUGGAGGGGAAAUGGCUCUGUGCAGAAACAUCUUGGCUUGGGAGGGAUGGGGAUGAUUUGCCGCUCCACCUCAGGGAACGAAAUGCCUUGGGCUGACCAGCCCUGU
Molecule: long non-coding RNA, 957 nt
Organism: Zootoca vivipara (common lizard)
Lineage: Eukaryota; Metazoa; Chordata; Lepidosauria; Squamata; Lacertidae
Source: RefSeq, a predicted model, not a curated record